GCCAGCGUCCCCCCUCUCUCUCACGUGAUCUAGCUCCUCCUCCAUUCACCCAUCGCCCGGGAGAAACCCUACCUUCUCUCCCCACUUCUUGUUCCCAUCCCUAGCCGCCGCGAGAGGCCAUGGCCUAGCUUGUAGGAGCUCCCCUCCCACAGCGUGAUCAGAUUGAAAAAGACCAAAAAUAAGGCAAAAAAUUCAUGGUGAUAAUUCGUUGAAUAUACAGUUGUGCCUACAACUUCUUCGCCCUGAUCAGGCACAAAUUCUGGAGAUUGAUAGAAAUUCAACUACCACAGUUGGGUAAAAACUCUUCAAGGGGAACAACAAAAAGAGCUAAAACUGCAAAAACUAGCCUCUGUACUGAGUUGUUGCUGACCCUGGUGUUGCUGAAUGUUGCUUACAAACUGCAAAAACUGCAAAAACUAGCCUCUGAACUGAGUUGUUGUUGAACCUGGUGUUGCUGAAUGUUGCCUACAAAACUACAGAAGCUAGCCUUUGUACUGAAUGUUGCUGAACUUGGUGCUAUGAACAUAAGAAGAUGCUGACACCUGGUCCUUCAAUUUUUCUUGACUAUUGUUUUGUACCUUGUUUCUGCAAAAAAGAAAAAUGAAAUGAAAAAAGAAGCAAUUGUGUA
Long non-coding RNA from Hordeum vulgare subsp. vulgare (domesticated barley), 628 nucleotides. RefSeq lists it as uncharacterized. Lineage: Eukaryota; Viridiplantae; Streptophyta; Magnoliopsida; Poales; Poaceae. The transcript has 2 exons. The record is from RefSeq and is a predicted model, not a curated record.